GUGCUAUGAUGUCAAUCAAUUGUUUCUGAAACCUUGUGUGGAAUAAUUUGAGCUUUUUAACCCUGAGCACA
RNAcentral lists this small nucleolar RNA (71 nucleotides) under Eptatretus burgeri (inshore hagfish). Lineage: Eukaryota; Metazoa; Chordata; Myxini; Myxiniformes; Myxinidae. The record is from RNAcentral.